Molecule: small RNA, 265 nt
Filed under: Arabidopsis thaliana (thale cress)
Lineage: Eukaryota; Viridiplantae; Streptophyta; Magnoliopsida; Brassicales; Brassicaceae
Description: ATSL109870
Source: RNAcentral
ACUAAAAAUUUGCUUAUAUCGUCAAAUAUAUUAUUAACAUAUUAAGUUGGUUUGUAUACCAUGUCAUUUCAUCCAUGCAUCAAACCCCAUCCAUAUUUCGCUAACAAUAUUAUCUCGAUAAUGCGUUAUCUGCUAACUAUCCAGAGUUUUAUCAUAUCUAGGUAUAUUUGUCAUAUAAAUUUUAGUUGAUAAGAGAUACCUAAAUAAAUGGUCUUAUGUAUAGAUUCUUAAUUAUUUGAUGAUGCAUGUAUAGAUUUUUCAAUCA